RNAcentral lists this ribosomal RNA (499 nucleotides) under uncultured bacterium. RNAcentral describes it as "bacterial SSU rRNA". It matches the Rfam family "Bacterial small subunit ribosomal RNA", at positions 17 to 507 of the family's 1533-position model. The record is from RNAcentral.
UCAUGGCUCAGGAUGAACGCUAGCGGCAGGCUUAACACAUGCAAGUCAGGGGCAGCAUGAACCGACUUCGGGAAGGUUUGACGGCGACCGGCGCAAGGGUGCGUAACGCGUGAGCAACUUGCCCUUAUCAGGGGGAUAACCGGUGGAAACGCCGACUAAUACCCCAUGGCAUCACAUCAAGGCAUCUUUUUGUGAUUAAAGAAAUUCGGAUAAGGAUAGGCUCGCGUGACAUUAGCUAGACGGCGGGGUAACGGCCCACCGUGGCGACGAUGUCUAGGGGUUCUGAGAGGAAGGUCCCCCACACUGGAACUGAGACACGGUCCAGACUCCUACGGGAGGCAGCAGUGAGGAAUAUUGGUCAAUGGUCUGACGACUGAACCAGCCAUGCCGCGUGAAGGUCACGGCCCUAUGGGUCUUAAACUUCUUUUGCGAGGGAGCAAUAAGGUCUACGUGUAGUCCGAUGAGAGUACCUCGCGAAUAAGCAUCGACUAACUCCGUG